AGUGGGGAAUAUUGGACAAUGGGCGCAAGCCUGAUCCAGCAAUGCCGCGUGUGUGAAGAGGGCCCUCGGGUUGUAAAGCACUUUUAUCAGGAACGAAAUACCACGGGUCAAUACCCUGUGGGGCUGACGGUACCUGAGGAAUAAGCACCGGCUAACUUCGUGCCAGCAGCCGCGGUAAUACGAAGGGUGCAAGCGUUAAUCGGAAUUACUGGGCGUAAAGGGUGCGUAGGCGGUUGUUUAAGUCUGUCGUGAAAUCCCCGGGCUCAACCUGGGAAUGGCGAUGGAUACUGGACAGCUAGAGUGUGUCAGAGGAUGGUGGAAUUCCCGGUGUAGCGGUGAAAUGCGUAGAGAUCGGGAGGAACAUCAGUGGCGAAGGCGGCCAUCUGGGACAACACUGACGCUGAAGCACGAAAGCGUGGGGAGCAAACAGGAUUAGAUACCCUGGUAGUCCACGCCCUAAACGAUGCGAACUGGAUGUUGGUCUCAACUCGGAGAUCAGUGUCGAAGCUAACGCGUUAAGUUCGCCGCCUGGGGAGUACGGUCGCAAGA
RNAcentral lists this ribosomal RNA (549 nucleotides) under uncultured bacterium. Its description in RNAcentral is "bacterial SSU rRNA". It matches the Rfam family "Bacterial small subunit ribosomal RNA", at positions 353 to 893 of the family's 1533-position model. The record is from RNAcentral.